UUUUAUCAAUAAGCGGAGGAAAAGAAACCAACAGGGAUUGCCCUAGUAACGGCGAGUGAAGCGGCAACAGCUCAAAUUUGAAAUCUGGCUCUUUCAGAGUCCGAGUUGUAAUUUGCAGAGGGCGCUUUGGCUUUGGCAGCGGUCCAAGUUCCUUGGAACAGGACGUACAGAGGGUGAGAAUCCCGUACGUGGUCGCUAGCUAUUGCCGUGUAAAGCCCCUUCGACGAGUCGAGUUGUUUGGGAAUGCAGCUCUAAAUGGGAGGUAAAUUUCUUCUAAAGCUAAAUAUUGGCCAGAGACCGAUAGCGCACAAGUAGAGUGAUCGAAAGAUGAAAAGCACUUUGGAAAGAGAGUCAAACAGCACGUGAAAUUGUUGAAAGGGAAGCGCUUGCAGCCAGACUUGCUUGCAGUUGCUCAUCCGGGCUUUUGCCCGGUGCACUCUUCUGUAGGCAGGCCAGCAUCAGUUUGGGCGGUGGGAUAAAGGUCUCUGUCACGUACCUUCCUUCGGGUUGGCCUUAUAGGGGAGACGCCAUACCACCAGCCUGGACUGAGGUCCGCGCAUCUGCUAGGAUGCUGGCGUAAUGGCUGUAAGCGGCCCGUCUUGAACCACGGAC
Molecule: ribosomal RNA, 612 nt
Filed under: Curvularia lunata
Lineage: Eukaryota; Fungi; Ascomycota; Dothideomycetes; Pleosporales; Pleosporaceae
Description: partial 26S ribosomal RNA
Rfam family: Eukaryotic large subunit ribosomal RNA
Source: RNAcentral